This 497-nucleotide ribosomal RNA is filed under the name uncultured bacterium. RNAcentral's name for it is "partial 16S ribosomal RNA". It matches the Rfam family "Bacterial small subunit ribosomal RNA", at positions 29 to 507 of the family's 1533-position model. The record is from RNAcentral.
AGUGAACGCUGGCGGCAUGCCUAACACAUGCAAGUCGAACGGACGCACGGUGAGCUCUCUCUCUUGCGGGUGGCGACUGGCGGAUGGGUGAGACGUACAUCGCCUUCUACUUUUUCUGGGGUGACAACGUGGGGCCACAUACGCUAACAGCGCAUACGUCCAACGGGAGGGAUCAGUGGAUCUUCGGAGCUUUGCUGAUUCUAAUAGCUGAUCCCGGGUCGGAUUAGCUAGUUGGUAAGGUAACGGCCUACCAAGGCGACGAUACGUAGCUGGUCUGAGAGGGUGAUCAGCCACACUGGAACUGAGACACGGUCCAGACUCCUACGGGAGGCAGCAGUGGGGAAUAUUGGACAAUGGGCGAAAGCCUGAUCCAGCCAUGCCGCGUGAGUGAAGAAGGCCUUCGGAUUGUAAAGCCCUUUUAUUGGGGAAGAAAAGCAGUAGGUUAAUACGCCGAUGUUUUGACGGUACCCAAAGAAUAAGCACCGGCUAACUUCGUG